Non-coding RNA from Punica granatum (pomegranate), 894 nucleotides. The record is from RefSeq and is a predicted model, not a curated record. Lineage: Eukaryota; Viridiplantae; Streptophyta; Magnoliopsida; Myrtales; Lythraceae.
GAAGGUAAAGUUACCUCAGUAUCAGUUGGAUCGGGAAGACAUGAAGGAACAAGGUCUUAGCUCAGCUUUUCGUCUCAGCCUCUUCAACCCUAAAUCGACUCUGUACUCCCUCUCCCUGCAGUUCCUCUCCGUCCGUCCGUCGCUCGCCUUUCGUCUCCGACUCUCCGGCUCCGACUCUCCUUGAAUCUCUCUUUACCGUUCAAACGGGAAGUGAGCCCACCAUUUUCACUGCUCAGUCACAGUGAAGCUCUGAAGCUCAGAGCUGCAGAAACCUUCCAAGAUUCCUUCUCCGGUCGGAGCUUUUGCCUCUUCGAACCGGCUAGCCAAUGGAGAAUUCGGCUGCCGAGAGUCUCCGAGCUCGCAAUGAAGAAGAAUCAGCUUCAGAUUCCCUCCACAGUUCCCAGAUUUCGCUGUUCGUUCCUCCGUCUCCCCUGCUUCUGUGAAGCUGAAGAAGGAGGUUUUUUGGCAAUGCCGUGCUAGUUUCUCGCUCCAAUCCGUCGCUUCGCAGGAUAAGUGGCUUCGAUUUCACUCUAGAGUCAGGGAAGCCAGCCAUUGGUGGGUUGCUUACUUAAGUAUAAAUACGAUCAUUAAUUAUCUCUCCCCUGAGUUUCGCCGUUCUCUGCUUUCCGUUCUCUCCUGUGCGGUUCGGUUGUCAGAUUGCCCAGGUGAGUCCUGCUUUUACAUUGGUUUGUCGUGUUUAUCUCCUGUUCUUUGCCCAUGUAGAUGACUUUACUUCACCGCGAAAGUGUUUCCUACUGAUAGAUUUGGGAACCCUGUGAUAUGCUAUUUUUUGCUGCUUCUCUUGCGUUUUUGUUUCUGUAUAAGUACCUGGACUUCUAAUGGAUUGUAAUGAGAUUACAUUUUGCAUCAAUGGUAUUUUUGGUUUAAGAGCUA